UGGAAUGAUUCUUAUAGUUUGUGGUGGAUGAAUCGGCUAAGUAAUUUUCUGUAUAGGGUUUGGUAGAGUUUCGGCUAUGUAAUUACAAGGGUAGAGAUCCUCCCCUUCUGCCCUUGAAGUCGUGCUUUAUAUAGAGGAAAAACCCUAGAGAAGCCGGCCACAAAGUUGAAACCAAGUUGGUUUAGGUUUCCCUAGUUUUUCUCAAUUCGGCAGAAUGACCUCCGUCUGAUGAUUACGUCAUAACUCCCUCUAGAAAAUAGAUAUUGAGGUGAUUCCAAUUGAUUUGGAAACUAGACUCCUCUAGCUCUCUAUCCAUAUCUAACACGUUUUCUGAUUCAUUGUGAGCUGUCCUGGAGAGUCAGUUGAAGUUGAGAGACGUGCACAGGAAUUUUCCCGAAAUUAAUCAGGGUUUUCAAGACUUGGAUAUUCCUUGAUAUUCUGCCGAAUUUAGAUCUUCUUCUCCAUAUUGGACUUGGUUUGGACCUCUCCUUUCAUGGACUAGGCUUCGUGGAUCAGCUGCUUUGCUUCCCUAGGUCCAUCAUGAACACUUCUCUCGGCAAUGAUUCAAGCAUAACUUCAAUUCUCCUGAUUCUUUCAUGGACUAGGCUUCGUGGAUCAGCUGCUUUGCUUCCCUAGGUCCAUCAUGAACACUUCUCUCGGCAAUGAUUCGAGCAUAACUUCAAUUCUCCUAAUUCUUUCUCCCAUAACUCUUCUACAUGUCACCUAAGUAUCAGAGAAGUUAAAUCAAUUUGUGACAAUAUAAAAGCUUUACAGAAUCAUAAGAACAUCUCUAAGGCUCCACAAAUCAGCUUUUGACAAUUUUCUACAUCAUUCCUCUAUGUUUAACACGUUUUACGCACAACUCUACCAAAAACUUUCGACUCUACAUUAUGACUCUAUUCUAUGACAAUAAGAGAUAAUCAAAGUACAAAUGGAGGUAUUUUAUGCGCCUAUCAUUAACAAAGGGAAAUCCCUCGAGAAAUAUCUUAACAAAAUGAAACCCUUUAGAGAAAAAAUAAAAACCUUCAAAGAAUAUGUCAAUGAGAUGAAACAGUAUGAGGAAAUAUGAAACAUUUUGAGAAAAAUCUCAGUAAUG
RNAcentral lists this long non-coding RNA (1096 nucleotides) under Fragaria vesca (wild strawberry). RNAcentral's name for it is "long non-coding RNA (FVES_LNC003681)". The record is from RNAcentral. Lineage: Eukaryota; Viridiplantae; Streptophyta; Magnoliopsida; Rosales; Rosaceae.